ACUCUAUUAAGACUGCCGCUGACAAGGCUGAGGAAGGUGGGGACGACGUCAAGUCAUCAAGGCCCUUACGACCAGGGCUACACACGUGCUACAAUGGGUAUUACCGAGGGCUGCGAAGGUGCGAGCUGGAGCGAAACUCAAAAAGGUACUCUUAGUCCGGAUUGCAGUCUGCAACACGACUGCAUGAAGACGGAAUCGCUAGUAAUCGCACGUCAGAAUACUGCGGUGAAUACGUUCCCGGGUCUU
This 246-nucleotide ribosomal RNA is filed under the name Francisella tularensis subsp. holarctica. RNAcentral's name for it is "partial 16S ribosomal RNA". It matches the Rfam family "Bacterial small subunit ribosomal RNA", at positions 1137 to 1382 of the family's 1533-position model. Lineage: Bacteria; Pseudomonadati; Pseudomonadota; Gammaproteobacteria; Thiotrichales; Francisellaceae. The record is from RNAcentral.